RNAcentral lists this transfer RNA (79 nucleotides) under Sphingobium indicum UT26S. RNAcentral describes it as "Sphingobium japonicum UT26S tRNA-His (GTG)". It matches the Rfam family "tRNA". Rfam says of the family: Transfer RNA (tRNA) molecules are approximately 80 nucleotides in length. Their secondary structure includes four short double-helical elements and three loops (D, anti-codon, and T loops). Lineage: Bacteria; Pseudomonadati; Pseudomonadota; Alphaproteobacteria; Sphingomonadales; Sphingobiaceae. The record is from RNAcentral.
GGCGAUCGUAGCUCAGUUGGUUAGAGCGCCGGUUUGUGGUACCGGAGGUCGCGGGUUCGGAUCCCGUCGAUCGCCCCAU